RNAcentral lists this ribosomal RNA (429 nucleotides) under Pseudomonadota bacterium. Its description in RNAcentral is "Proteobacteria bacterium partial 16S ribosomal RNA". It matches the Rfam family "Bacterial small subunit ribosomal RNA", at positions 355 to 776 of the family's 1533-position model. The record is from RNAcentral. Lineage: Bacteria; Pseudomonadati; Pseudomonadota.
UGGGGAAUAUUGGACAAUGGGCGAAAGCCUGAUCCAGCCAUGCCGCGUGUGUGAAGAAGGUCUUCGGAUUGUAAAGCACUUUAAGUUGGGAGGAAGGGCAGUAAGCGAAUACCUUGCUGUUUUGACGUUACCGACAGAAUAAGCACCGGCUAACUCUGUGCCAGCAGCCGCGGUAAUACAGAGGGUGCAAGCGUUAAUCGGAAUUACUGGGCGUAAAGCGCGCGUAGGUGGUUCGUUAAGUUGAAUGUGAAAGCCCCGGGCUCAACCUGGGAACUGCAUCCAAAACUGGCGAGCUAGAGUAGGGCAGAGGGUGGUAGAAUUUCCUGUGUAGCGGUGAAAUGCGUAGAUAUAGGAAGGAACACCAGUGGCGAAGGCGACCACCUGGGCUCAUACUGACACUGAAGUGCGAAAGCGUGGGGAGCAAACAGG